Molecule: long non-coding RNA, 498 nt
Organism: Beta vulgaris subsp. vulgaris (sugar beet)
Lineage: Eukaryota; Viridiplantae; Streptophyta; Magnoliopsida; Caryophyllales; Amaranthaceae
Exons: 2
Source: RefSeq, a predicted model, not a curated record
AGCAUGGUUCAUCGAAAGGACGUCAAGAAAUUGAAAAAGAAUCCUGUAAGGUGGAACAAAAUACAGGUUUGUGUAAUAAUAUAUCUAAAAAUAUACUACAUGUAAUGACACAUUUGAAUUGAAAUAGUUAUGUCAGUUGUUGAUUUACCUGAACUUUUUCAUGACAGUAUCCUCGUCAAGCUCUGGGUUCCAAGGAUUGGCGCUAUUAUGUUUGUCAUUACAUGAUUGAAACUAUCACAAGUAGACGGCAAUUAAUUCCUGAUAAGUGCUUUCAGGGAUUCCUAGCACUUAUUCCCAAGAGAUGAUUGACGAGCUAAGAGAUAUGUGGGUGAAUUAUUUAAACAAUCAAACACAAGACGAUGGAGAUUGAAGACGACGGUCAAGUUUGAAUUGUACAUAUUAUUUGAUUAUUUUAGAAUUUUAGUUUUAGUAGCUAGCAUUAGAUUAUAGAAACUUCAUUUUAAGACAUUAUUAGAAGAAAUUGAUGCUUUGAAUAAA